AUUGUUCUCCUUGAUUUACUCCAUCGAUUUGGCAGGACAUAUCCUGUAGUGGUUUCCCGAGAAAGAGCGUGUUAUAGAUUGUCUCCUUUGGUUCUUAAGCCUUGAGACUCAGACUGAAUCACACCACCGGCUUUUCUGGGUCUGCAGCUUGCAGAUAGCAGACUGUGGGACUUCUCAGUCUAUAAUCAUGAAGAUGUUAAGCAAUUUAUUUGAUGUCCUUCAAAAACUAUCUUUAUAAUGAAACAAGAGAAACCAUGAUUAACUAUCAAAUUCAACUUGCUGCACAGCAUAACAAAACUACAGUGGAAUAAAGAAUACGGAGAAUUUUGAGUCAUGCAUCAACUGGGACUUUGGAACACAUCCCCUAGGAUCAGAAGACUUCCGUAUCUGUGUGUAUUCUUGUUGAGUGACAGAAAAAAAGAGUUGUUUCAUAUGCAUUAACUUGGAAGCAUAGAAGACACCCUAAAAGAUAAUGUUGUUUUGAGCUGGCAUAGUCUGCAGGAAUCAGUGUUCUUUUUGGGCUAUAUUUUUGUGAUACAUUUAACUCAUGCUAAGCACCAUAAAAUUUUAUGGCCCAGAGACUGACAGCCAAUUCCUCUUGGGAAUGUAUCCAUCCACCCUCUAUGGCUGAUUCUUUCUGAUCUCUAAGCCUGCUCUGAGGCACUCACUCAGGAAAACUUUUAUCAAGUGUUCAUAAAAACCUGAGAUCGACCUCUCGCUGCAGAUUAGAAUAUCAUCAGAAGAUUUCUGUAAGCCAUGGAAGGCUUUUCUCUUCCUCAGCGGAGAGAAGAUGAAUGGUUUUACAAAUCCCUGAGGAGACUCUGUGGAGCUAUAGACAAAGAUGGAAGAUCUUCCCAUUGAAGCCACAGGGCUCCAUCUUAGCUCUGGCAUUAUAACGCAAAGUCUGGAAAGAACAAAGUCAAGAAGCAUGCGUUUAGUACAGUAUCCCUUUAUUUGGUAGGCCAGUGUGCUGGAAUUUUCAUCAAUACCCAAUUGUCUUCUCCUGGCCACAUACCGGGUGAUAGGAUGAUAGAAAACAAACAAAAUGAAGCAAAGUCACAUAAGUACUUCUGGCCAAUGAAAUGUGAGCCUAGGCAGGUACUAGCUGGUGUAUUUUUUUUCAUGUUCCUUUUCUCUGCGGCAGGGAUUGCAGAAGCUUGUGUUUAGACGGAGACGCUGCAAGAUCAAAGCAUCUUGAAAUGUAUGUACCAUGUGAAAGACAGAAACUCUGGAAUGCCUCUCAGACCUGCAGCAGAGUUUGAGUACAAGGGAAGAAAGCUGUUAUUGCAUCAAGCCACCCAAAUAUGUGGUUUUGUUCCUGUAGCAUAAUCUAUCCUGAUUAAUAUAUGUAGCAACUUCAUGGUGCUAUAUUUAUCAAGAUUCUCCUGCUUCUAAUGAAUCUAUCCAACGGAUCUGCUUUUUACAGUUGGUACUUCAGAAUCGUGGAGCAAAAAUAGAUAAUUUCAUUGUAAACCCCAUCAGCCUCAUCAUCUUCAUGGAUCUUUGUAAAUACCAUUUGUUUACCAGGUAGAGACCAAUUAUCAGCUAAAACGGAGGACCAACCUGUUCAAUUUCCAAAGGUAUAAGCAAUAUUGUUUGUUAAAUAUCCCUUUCUUAAUCAAUUUUGGAAAGGCUUACCUUAUCAUGUAUCAAGAAUUUUGGUUUUUUUUAAAUCAAUUCUCAGUUUUCUACCACUGUUUUAUACAUUUCAGAUUCAGUAACAUCGGCCUCCUUCAAUUGUCACUAUUAUUGAUAAAAUACCCUUCUUUAUCUCUCAUUACUUUUGUCCCAAAUUAAUUUUAGAAUUAUUUAAUUCAAAACUAUAUUGGGAUUUAAGUUGCAGUUGUGCUAAUUUUAUAAGGUAAAUUAGAAAUAUUAAACAUUUAUAUAAUAUUUAGCUGAAAUAUUCAAGUAUGUGGUUUGUCUCCAUCAAUUCUGCCUCUUUAUUUAUCCCAAUAAAAUGUUAUAGUUCC
This 1973-nucleotide long non-coding RNA is filed under the name Homo sapiens (human). RNAcentral describes it as "uncharacterized LOC105378396, transcript variant 1 (LOC105378396)". Lineage: Eukaryota; Metazoa; Chordata; Mammalia; Primates; Hominidae. The record is from RNAcentral.